Molecule: RNA transcript, 3040 nt
Organism: Pan troglodytes (chimpanzee)
Lineage: Eukaryota; Metazoa; Chordata; Mammalia; Primates; Hominidae
Gene: TIPIN
Gene name: TIMELESS interacting protein
Exons: 10
Source: RefSeq, a predicted model, not a curated record
GCUCCGCCCAGCCCCCGCGAGGAUUUGGCGCCAAACGCUGCGGGCCCUUCUCGCCCCAGGAGUUCCCGAGUAUCGCGAGAAGCGCGCUUAGUCUGCACGCCGAGGUCCGCGCUGUGGCCCGUGUUUUCUGCGUGAGAGGAAAAGAUGCUAGAACCACAGGAGAAUGGCAUGAUUGACCUACCAGAUUAUGAGCAUGUAGAAGAUGAAACUUUUCCUCCUUUCCCACCUCCAGCCUCUCCAGAGAGACAAGAUGGUGAAGGAACUGAGCCUGAUGAAGAGUCAGGAAAUGCAGCACCUGUUCCUGUACCUCCAAAGAGAACAGUUAAAAGAAAUAUACCCAAGCUGGAUGCUCAGAGAUUAAUUUCAGAGAGAGGACUUCCAGCCUUAAGGCAUGUAUUUGAUAAGGCAAAAUUCAAAGGUAAAGGUCAUGAGGCUGAAGACUUGAAGAUGCUAAUCAGACACAUGGAGCACUGGGCACAUAGGCUAUUCCCUAAACUGCAGUUUGAGGAUUUUAUUGACAGAGUUGAAUACCUGGGAAGUAAAAAGGAAGUUCAGACCUGUUUAAAACGAAUUCGACUUGAUCUCCCUAUUUUACAUGAAGAUUUUGUUAGCAAUAAUGAUGAAGUUGCGGAGAAUAAUGAACAUGAUGUCACUUCUACUGAAUUAGAUCCCUUUCUGACAAACUUAUCUGAAAGUGAGAUGUUUGCUUCUGAGUUAAGUAGAAGCCUAACAGAAGAGCAACAACAAAGAAUUGAGAGAAAUAAACAACUGGCCUUGGAAAGAAGGCAGGCAAAGCUGCUGAGUAAUAGUCAGACCCUAGGAAAUGAUAUGUUAAUGAAUACACCUAGGGCACACACGGUUGAAGAGGUUAAUACUGAUGAGGAUCAAAAGGAGGAGUCAAAUGGAUUAAACGAAGACAUUCUGGACAAUCCAUGUAAUGAUGCUAUUGCCAAUACUUUAAAUGAAGAGGAAACACUGCUGGACCAGUCUUUUAAAAAUGUGCAACAGCAACUUGAUGCUACAUCCAGAAAUAUUACUGAAGCUAGAUAAGUUUCCAUUAAGAGAAAAUGUAUCUGUUAAGUCAUCAUCCUGCAAGCUUGGCGUUACUAUGUAUUUUUUCUUCUUGGAGUGAAAAUCCUUAGAUAUGGAGUCUCACUCUGUCACCCAGGCUGGAGUACAGUGGUGCAAUCUCGGCUCACUGCAAGCUCCACCUCCUGGGUUCACGUCAUUCUCCUGCCUCAGCCUCUGGAGUAGCUGGGACUACAGGCGCCUGCCACCACGCCCGGGAUCUUGCUUCGUCACCCAGGCUGGAGUGCAAUGGCAUGAUCACUGCUCACUGCUGCCUCAAUCUCCUGGACUUGAGCAAUUCUCCUGCCCAAAGUGCUGCGAUUACAGGUGUAAGCUACCAUGCCCCACCUAAGUCUUCUAUUUUUGAAGCAAGUAGAAUUUGACCUAACUGUAACUUAAAAGAAAUUACAAAGCUACAGGUUUCUGGUUUGUCAAUACAACCACCUUACAACUAAAUAAAAAAAUAUUUUAAAUUAAAACAACAAAGUUAGAUUGGGGUCUGUUGAGCUCUGAACAAAUUUGAAAUGAGUUCAUAUGUGACAUUACAAACCUUACUUUAUGUCCUCCAUUUUUUUCUUGAGAUGGAGUCUUGCUCUGUUGCCUAGGCUGGAGUGCAGUGGUGCGAUCUUGGCUCACUGCAACCUACCUCUUCCUGGUUCAAGUAAUUCUCCUGCCUCAGCCACCUGAGUAGCUGGGACUACAGGCGUGCACCACCAUGCCUGGCUAAUUUUUUCUAUUUUAGUAGAGACGGGGUUUCACUGUGUUGCCCAGGCUGGUCUCAAACUCCUGAGCUCUGGCAAUCCACCUGCCUCGGCCUCCCGAAGUGCUAGGAUUAUAGGCGUGAGCCACCGUGCCCGGCCAUGUCCUCUAUUUUGAUUAGAAAAGCAUGACACUGAUAGAGUCAAGUCUUUUUAGCUCAGUAAAUUAGAGCAAAGUCUUGCAAAUCCUACAGGAUGGCACUGAACUGUGAUAUCAAUCUUGAUGACAGAUAAAUUAGCAAAAAUUUCAUUUAGUAAAAAAACUCUUUGCCACCAAGUCAUUUUAUUUAAAAAAAAGGUAUACAUUUGGAACUCAUAAAAAACAUAGGGCUAAUUUUCCUAAUAUGUAAAGAGCUUUUACAAAUUAAUCAGUAAUUGAUCUUGAAUCCAAAAGAAAAAUGGGCGAAGAAUAUAGUUAACAGAAAGGGAUACAUAAGUGACAAACAUAUGAAAAAAUGAUUAGCUUUAUUUGUAAUGCAAAUUAAAACCAAUCUAAGAUACCAUUUUUCAUCUAUCAAAUUGGCAAAGAUAAAAAAAUACAACAUAUUGUGUUGGCAAGGCUGUGGGAAAAUAUGCACUCUCAUACAUUGGUGACAGGAAUAUAACUGGUGUAACAUUUAAGAAGGGCAAUUUGAUUAUAUUGAUCUAAACACAAAUGCACAUACUCUUGACACAGAAAUCCCAUAAUCAAAUAUGGGAAUUUCUCUUUCACAUAUACUGUAUUUUAAAAAAUGUGAAAUGAUCUGGGCAUGGUGGCUUACAUCUGUAAUCCCAGCUUUUUGGGUGGCCAAGGUGGGAGGAUCACUUGAGCACAGGAGUUCAAGACUAGCCUGGGCAACAUGUGAAACUCUGUCUCAAAAAAUAAAAAUAAAAAUGAAAAUGUGAAAUGACUUAUGUUCAAAGUUAACUCAGUACAGCUUUGUUUGUAAUACCAAAAGAUUGGAAACUAUCCAAAUUUCCAUAGAUAGUGCAACUGUUAUUAAUACGGAAUGAUCUCCAAGAUACCAUUAAGUUCUUUUUUAAAAGGAAGGUGCUAAACAGCAUAUAUAUAUAUAUAUAUAUAUAUAUAUAUAUAUAUAAUGCAACCAUUUGUGUAAAAAAGAUCACAUAUGCAUAUUCAUGUAUGUAUUGUAUCUAGAAAAACUAAUACGGAACUGGUAAAUGAGGGAAAGUGAUAGGGAGGAACCUUUCAUUAAAUACCUCUUGGGACAUAU